Molecule: long non-coding RNA, 917 nt
Organism: Podarcis muralis (Common wall lizard)
Lineage: Eukaryota; Metazoa; Chordata; Lepidosauria; Squamata; Lacertidae
Source: RefSeq, a predicted model, not a curated record
AACAACUUUUCAAAGAAAAAGCAAAUAAGUUUAACUAAGAAUUAGCUCGUGUCACAUUGUCAUUUUAUGAAGAAGCUACAAUAUCAUUAUAAUAAUACUGCCUGUAUCCUGGAUUUAACAUAUGAGCAAAGUGCUUGAAACUGUCUUGCAAAAUCUGGUUUUGAUUAAUAGAAUCAGAGUGUUUGCAGGAAAAUACCUCAAAAGGUCAUUUAGUCCAACCCCGUACUGAUGCAGGAAAUCCCCGAUGGUUACCAUUCAACAUCUGCUUAAGAACUUCUGUCCCACUGACAAAUAGAAGUUCUUCUGAAUGUUAACCUAAAUUCUGUUUCUUGUAGUUUGAACCAAAUGGUUCAGGCCCCACUCCCUGGAACAACAGAAAUCUAUGUAACAGCUCUUCAACUAUGCAAAUAUGGCUAUUACAGGUGGCAACAAUUUUGCACAGAGCAUCCAUUCCUAGCCCCCAUGCAUGUCAGCAGAGUGCACAUAAGCCUGCCCUACACCUGCUUCACCUGUUCUGUCCCCCAUUCCGCCCACUUCUGGGUCCAAAAGGACCCAUGUGUUGGCAGUCACGUCAAUUGGAUGCACGCAAAAUGGUCACAACCUGUAUAGUGCCUCUAAAUCAACCCUUCUCUAUGCUAUAUAUACCCAACUCUUUCAACCUUUCCCCAUAGGAUGUAGUCUCCGGGUCUUCAUGAUCUUUGUCAUCCUCCUCUGUAUACAUUCCAGUAAUCUUAAACUGCAGUGCUCCGAACUGGCCAUGAUACUCCAGAUGGAGACUUGUUUCUUCUAACGUCUGAAAACUCUCAUUCUAUGCAGGCCGGCUGAAUGAUGUUUUACUGACCUGCAGACAGUUUUUCCGGGUCAUGUGGCCAGCAUGACUAAGCCGCUUCUGGUGCAACGGAACACUGAAACCAGAG